This 510-nucleotide ribosomal RNA is filed under the name uncultured bacterium. RNAcentral's name for it is "partial 16S ribosomal RNA". It matches the Rfam family "Bacterial small subunit ribosomal RNA", at positions 28 to 507 of the family's 1533-position model. The record is from RNAcentral.
GACGAACGCUGGCGGCGUGCUUAACACAUGCAAGUCGAACGAAGAGCGACGGAAGCUUGCUUCUAUCAAUCUUAGUGGCGAACGGGUGAGUAACGCGUAAUCAACCUGCCCUUCAGAGGGGGACAACAGUUGGAAACGACUGCUAAUACCGCAUACGAUCUAAUCUCGGCAUCGAGGAUGGAUGAAAGGUGGCCUCGACAUGUAAGCUAUCACUGAAGGAGGGGAUUGCGUCUGUUUAGCUAGUUGGAGGGGUAACGGCCCAUCAAGGCGAUGAUAAGUAGCAGGUAUGCGAGGAUGAACGGCCACAUUGGGACUGAGACACGGCCCAGACUCCUACGGGAGGCAGCAGUGGGGAAUCUUCCGCAAUGGACGAAAGUCUGACGGAGCAACGCCGCGUGAGUGAUGACGGCCUUCGGGUUGUAAAGCUCUGUUAAUCGGGACGAAAGGCCUUCUUGCGAAUAGUGAGAAGGAUUGACGGUACCGGAAUAGAAAGCCACGGCUAACUACGUG